RNAcentral lists this small nuclear RNA (110 nucleotides) under Dictyostelium discoideum AX4. The record is from RNAcentral. Lineage: Eukaryota; Evosea; Eumycetozoa; Dictyosteliales; Dictyosteliaceae.
GGACCUCCGGGCAACCGGCAGGCAUCCAAAUUAUGGAAACGAUACAGAGAAGAUUACCAUGGUCCCUGCGUAAGGAUGACCGUAAAGCAAUCAAGAAGAAAAACAUUUUU